AUGCAUCCUAAUGCGGACUUUCCAAGCCACUAGAAAAUAGAUUGAAUCAUUGAAUUAUGACUUCUUUUUAGAAAUUGCAGAAGAUCCCUCGCUAGGCUGUUUCAUCUAUCUACCUACUACCUUCCACUGGAGAGGAUACUGGCCUUGGCAGAUCUUUUUUCUGAGACAACCUGUCACUCCACUUUAGAAUUCCACUGAACCAGGACUGCACUUUGGAGAAAUACAGAUAGAAGUAUUACAUGUGAGCCUGUCUUUUCUGGACUGGCUUCAGAAAAACUUGGCAGAGAAGCCAAAUGACAAAGCAAAUGGAAUUAUGCUUCAGACAAG
This 327-nucleotide long non-coding RNA is filed under the name Parus major (Great Tit). RNAcentral describes it as "lncRNA (ENSPMJG00000009893.1)". Lineage: Eukaryota; Metazoa; Chordata; Aves; Passeriformes; Paridae. The record is from RNAcentral.